CAGUCGCCGCGGUAAUACGAAGGGGGCUAGCGUUGAUCGGAAUUACUGGGCGUAAAGCGUGCGCAGGCGGUUUGUUAAGACAGAUGUGAAAUCCCCGGGCUCAACCUGGGAACUGCAUUUGUGACUGGCAAGCUAGAGUCUGGCAGAGGGGGGUGGAAUUCCGCGUGUAGCAGUGAAAUGCGUAGAGAUCGGGAGGAACAUCAGUGGCGAAGGCGGCCAUCUGGGACAACACUGACGCUGAAGCACGAAAGCGUGGGGAGCAAACAGGAUUAGAUACCCCCGUAGUCCCUGUCUCUUAUAC
RNAcentral lists this ribosomal RNA (301 nucleotides) under uncultured bacterium. RNAcentral's name for it is "partial 16S ribosomal RNA". It matches the Rfam family "Bacterial small subunit ribosomal RNA", at positions 509 to 807 of the family's 1533-position model. The record is from RNAcentral.